UCUCAAACCAUUGACUUAAUCAAACUAAGUCAAUUAGCAAUCGAAUUGCUAAUCGAUCCUCCUGCAAUACUUACACUAGGUAAAAUGUCAAUCGUAUUGAUCAUUUAACCCUAGAAUAAUUCUUAAUCGUUGAUCAACCAUCCGAUCGGAUCAUAAACUCUAAUGUGUGUGACCUCAUAGGUUCGAACCUAAGUUAGUAGUAUAGAAAUAAAUUUUUAUACCAAUCGAAGUGACCAUCUAGCAAUGGUACCCG
RNAcentral lists this long non-coding RNA (253 nucleotides) under Elaeis guineensis (African oil palm). RNAcentral describes it as "long non-coding RNA (EGUI_LNC072836)". The record is from RNAcentral. Lineage: Eukaryota; Viridiplantae; Streptophyta; Magnoliopsida; Arecales; Arecaceae.